GAUACAUAAGGGGUUUUGAUCUUAAUUGACCCUUCUCUAACCUAAUUGGUAGGUCUACGAACGCAACGGUGCGCUCGGUUCGGCGAUCCGACGAGUGUACGCGGAGAUACUGAGGAUCGAAGCCGUUAAGGUACAGAUUGCCGCAGCUCGCGGCGUAAGCUUCCAAAAAUCAUGAAAAUGGAAUCGUAGCAUCGUGGUGUCGGGGAAUAAACUCCAGAACAAACGGAUCGCGGAUAGGAGGUUAUUUGGCAGUCGCGCGUGAGUUGGGUCGAGCUGUGCGGCGUGCGCCGCAGGAGGCCGAUUGCGAGUGACGACGAGCAAUCGGAACGCUAUAAAAGGUGGGUGGUGUCCAUCCCGAAGCAAUCGGGCUCCCUUUUAUGUCUAAGUUUUAUAUUGAUCAAAUUGCAUAUUGACAUCUUGCAUUAUAGGGUGAUAAAUGAUGGUUUGGUCCUAUACCUUGCAUGUUCUUUGGUAGAAUAAUGUAUUUGGCUUAGUACUUAUAUCUAGCAUGCUUGAGGUUUAUAUAUGUGAUGUGGAACCCUAUAAUGAGAUGAUAAGUGUGGAUGGGAAUUUAGUAAUGUAUUGGCUAUUGCAUUGGAAACUUGUAAAGAACGAGUGGCAUCUAGUUGAUAGUAAACAAAAGAACGAGUGACAUAUGUGAGUCGUAGUGUAUAUGAAACCUAUGGACUAUAUGAUGAUUGUGACCCUAGAGGACAGGGUAUCCUCGAGCUUAGAGGAUUGGAUCAUGCUCACGGUCUGUUUUAAAUCUUGUGAUGGAAGCCCCACACAAGUAGUGCGCUCCGGAGUUGGUCACGUGGGAUUGCCGAUUUCGGGUCCCAAGGGAUUGCCUAUUUGGCCCCGCCAGACGGUCUCGGGUCCGUAGUGUGAGUUAAUUCUCCCUACGUGUCGAGAUGGCUAGUGAGCUGUAGGCGAGCCUUCGGGUAAGCCAUGAGAUUAAUGAACAAGUAAAUGAGGUUAAUGAACGAGUGAAUAGCUUCACCUUUGGACAUGAUAACAGGUUAGUUGCUUACCUAUUUCAUUGUACAUGCAUUCAUAUAUUAUGAUUGGGCAUAGUAGAGUAGCUUUACUUCUGUCCUUUACCGCUUUCCUUAUCUAUCUAUCUAUCUAUCGAUUAUCUACUUGUGCCCAACUUGGACCUAGUGGGGAGAUCGGCGGAGUCGGCGGCCGAACCCACUGGGAACUAAGGAAGUUAGUUCUCACCCCCAUUUUACUACAGGGUCGAGCGCGAGUUCACACGGCGAGGAUCGCGGUAAGGGCCUAGCGCCCUAGUUGCAUU
Molecule: long non-coding RNA, 1297 nt
Filed under: Ananas comosus (pineapple)
Lineage: Eukaryota; Viridiplantae; Streptophyta; Magnoliopsida; Poales; Bromeliaceae
Description: long non-coding RNA (ACOM_LNC003531)
Source: RNAcentral